GUACACUCCUGCGGGAGGCAGCAGUGAGGAAUAUUGGACAAUGGGUGGAAGCCUGAUCCAGCCAUCCCGCGUGCAGGAAGACGGCCCUAUGGGUUGUUAACUGCUUUUAUCUGGGGAUAAACCUACUUACGUGUAAGUAGCUGAAGGUACCAGAAGAAUAAGCACCGGCUAACUCCGUGCCAGCAGCCGCGGUAAUACGGAGGGUGCAAGCGUUAUCCGGAUUUAUUGGGUUUAAAGGGUCCGUAGGCGGACUGAUAAGUCAGUGGUGAAAUCCGACAGCUUAACUGUCGAACUGCCAUUGAUACUGUUAGUCUUGAGUAAGGUUGAAGUGGCUGGAAUAAGUAGUGUAGCGGUGAAAUGCAUAGAUAUUACUUAGAACACCAAUUGCGAAGGCAGGUCACUAAGUCUUAACUGACGCUGAUGGACGAAAGCGUGGGGAGCGAACAGGAUUAGAAACCCUGGUAGUCC
This 468-nucleotide ribosomal RNA is filed under the name uncultured organism. Its description in RNAcentral is "partial 16S ribosomal RNA". It matches the Rfam family "Bacterial small subunit ribosomal RNA", at positions 331 to 796 of the family's 1533-position model. The record is from RNAcentral.